GGCAGAGCGGGCAAUUACACCAACACCGAUGACAUCUUACUAUGCAAUACUUGGUUGCAAGUGUCGAGGGAUCCAUCCGUUGGAGGUGAUCAAAGUAGAGAUGCUUAUUGGGGGCAGAUGAAAGAACACUUUGAUGUUCGCAAUGUGAGUGGAAUUGACCGCUCCGAGAGAUCACUUCGGUCCCGGUGGUCGACAAUCAACUCGGAUUGUCAAAGGUGGGCGACCUGUCAAAAGGCGGUUGACAAGUUGAACCCAAGUGGCACAAAUGAGGACGGUAGAAACUUGUUCAAAGAAGAGGAGAGGAAAACCAAGAAGGGGAAGAUCAAGAAAGGAAGGAUGUUUACCUUGCCUCAUUGCUAUGAAGUGUUGAAGGAUGAUGAGAAAUGGAAGAAGCGUGAAGAUUUGGAUGAUUUGCAUUUGAGCAACAAACGAAAGCGAACAAUUGAGUUGAAUGAUGAUGAUGAUGAGGAGGAUGAUGCAUCAAGUGAUGACGGCAAGAGAAGCCCCACACCCAACUCGGUUUCAUACUCGAAGCCAAAACGACCGGAUGGGUGCAAGAAAGACAAAACAGAAAAGAAGAAGAGGAAAGGAGAUGAUGAGCUAAAAAAUGCUAUGGAAGCUAUUGUGAAGGCAAGAAAAGAAGCCAACGAGAUGAGGAAAAUGGCAAGGAACCAAGAUGCCGCGGCCGAGGAGAGGAGGUUGGCGAGGAGGGUGGCGGCCGAGGAGAGGAAGGUGGCUUUGGAGGAGAGGAAUGUGAGCAAUGAGGAGCGAAUUAGAUUGUUGGAAUGGGAGAAGCACUUGUUCUUCUUGGACACAUCUAACCUCAAUGAGGCGCAAAAGGAGUAUGUCAAUCUUGCCCGUGAAGAAGUCUUGAUCCAAAAAAGAGCC
This 888-nucleotide ribosomal RNA is filed under the name Triticum aestivum (bread wheat). Its description in RNAcentral is "partial small subunit ribosomal RNA". Lineage: Eukaryota; Viridiplantae; Streptophyta; Magnoliopsida; Poales; Poaceae. The record is from RNAcentral.